UCGAGUGCGCGCCUGUAGCAAUACAGGUGGCGCACGGCGCACGGGUGCGUAACACGUGGGCAAUCUGCCCUCGGAUGGGGGAUAACUCGCCGAAAGGCGAGCUAAUACCGCAUGACAUUCCGAAGACUCCGGUCUUUGGACUCAAAGGCCGCAAGGCCGUCUGAGGAGGAGCCCGCGCCCGAUUAGCUAGUUGGUGAGGUAACGGCUCACCAAGGCUUUGAUCGGUAGCCGGUCUGAGAGGAUGGCCGGCCACACUGGAACUGAGACACGGUCCAGACUCCUACGGGAGGCAGCAGUGGGAAUAUUGCGCAAUGGGCGAAAGCCUGACGCAGCGACGCCGCGUGGGGGAUGAAGCUUCUCGGAGUGUAAACCCCUUUCGACCCGGACGAAUGACCCGCAAGGGUUUGACGGUACGGGUAUAAGAAGCCCCGGCUAACUACGUGCCAGCAGCCGCGGUAAUACGUAGGGGGCCAGCGUUGCUCGGAAUUACUGGGCGUAAAGGGUUCGUAGGUGGUGCGGCAAGUUGGAAGUGAAAUCUCUGGGCUUAACCCAGAGGCUGCUUUCAAAACUGCCGUGCUCGAGUGCGAGAGAGGCCAGUGGAAUUGCAGGUGUAGCGGUGAAAUGCGUAGAUAUCUGCAGGAACACCCGUGGCGAAGGCGGCUGGCUGGAUCGCAACUGACACUGAGGAACGAAAGCUA
RNAcentral lists this ribosomal RNA (698 nucleotides) under uncultured bacterium. RNAcentral's name for it is "bacterial SSU rRNA". It matches the Rfam family "Bacterial small subunit ribosomal RNA", at positions 62 to 762 of the family's 1533-position model. The record is from RNAcentral.